Molecule: long non-coding RNA, 1072 nt
Filed under: Homo sapiens (human)
Lineage: Eukaryota; Metazoa; Chordata; Mammalia; Primates; Hominidae
Description: HSALNT0355669
Source: RNAcentral
UGGCUUGCGAGCUCCCUGCUUAACAGAAGGCUCAGUUGCCCAAGUGACGAAGGCAUUGUGGGGCACGAACCAGGCUUUGGUGAAUUUAUCUCAUUAUACACCAGGAGUUAUAAUUUAAAAACCAGUGUCAUAUAAAGAAGAAAAAAGAUAUGGUGAGAUACAAUACCAUUAACACUUCUUCAGAAACGGAUUUUAAAGCAGAACUUCCAUGACUGUGAAAUCCAACCGGGUGCGCGACCACGAGGAAGGAUGGCGAGGGAGGAAACCGCGCUUUGUUGUUGAGGUGAACCGGGUGCGCGACCAUGAGGAAGGAUGGCGAGGGAGGAAACCGCGCUUUGUUGGUGACGUGAGCUUCACAUUCAGCGACCCGUUAGAAUUCGUUCUGAUGAGCAGGAUUCUUUCACAGCGUUACAUGAAGAGUGGGGCGAUUGUACUUUGUGUUUCCUUUAGUUCUAGAGAAGAGUGAUUUUUUUUGUAUUUGAAAUAAGUAAAGAUUAUAUUACGUUGAAAUGAGCAUAAUGCAGAAAAGAAGGCACUGAAUUUAUACUUAAAUCAUGGUCUGGGGCCUAAAAUGCUUGCUCAAAUAACGUAGCUCCAGUGCGUUUGAGGGUGUAUACGUUUGAGAGAGAGUGUGUGUGUGUUUGAGCCUGUGUGUUUUAGUGUGUGUGAGAGAGUGUUUGUGUUUGAGCCUGUGUAUUUUACUGUGUGUUUGUGUGUGUGUGUGGGAGCCUGUGUGUUUUAGUGUGUGAGUGUGUUUGAGCUUGGGUGGGUAUGUAUAUUUGGGCGUGUGUUUGAGCCUGUGUGUUUGAGUGUGCGUGUGUUUGAGCAGGUGUGUGUUUGUGUGUGUGUUUGUGCAGGUGUGUGUCUGAGCCUGUGUGUUUAUUGUGUGUGUUUGAGCAUGUGUGUGUUUGAGUGUGUGUGUUUGAGCGUGUGUGUGUUUGAGCAAAUGUGUGUCUGAGCCUGUGUGUUUGUGUGUGUAAGCCUGUGUGCGUCUGAACGUGUGUACACUGGAGGUGGUUCCCUGAGUUUACGAUCCCUCAUUGGCUUAUACUGUUAAACAGACAAGCAGCUA